AAACGCAGAAGAAAAUUUUGCAUUAGCUGCAUAAGCUACGUCCCUCAUACUUGUGCCUACCAAGUGUGAAUGGACGUCAAACCGUAGGCUGGCUUAAUUCAGUUGUUCAUAUGAAUUAGGUGAGACAAUAUGAACUGGGGUUGUGUAGCUUGUCUGUGAGCGGUAGCAACCUGAGAUCUAAAUCAUAGACUGUGCUCGGAGAAGUCUAUAUGGCAACACUUCUGGACAGGGGUUCGACUCCCCUCAUCUCCACCA
This 255-nucleotide transfer-messenger RNA is filed under the name Veillonella parvula. Its description in RNAcentral is "partial transfer-messenger RNA". It matches the Rfam family "transfer-messenger RNA", at positions 89 to 374 of the family's 374-position model. Rfam says of the family: Bacterial tmRNA, also known as 10Sa RNA or SsrA, is named for its dual tRNA and mRNA-like properties. Its role is to liberate the mRNA from a stalled ribosome. To accomplish this part of the tmRNA is used as a reading frame that ends in a translation stop signal. RNAcentral also lists the same sequence under 1 other name. Lineage: Bacteria; Bacillati; Bacillota; Negativicutes; Veillonellales; Veillonellaceae. The record is from RNAcentral.